This 431-nucleotide ribosomal RNA is filed under the name uncultured bacterium. Its description in RNAcentral is "partial 16S ribosomal RNA". It matches the Rfam family "Bacterial small subunit ribosomal RNA", at positions 29 to 507 of the family's 1533-position model. The record is from RNAcentral.
AACGAACGCUGGCGGCAGGCCUAACACAUGCAAGUCGAGCGCCCUUUCGGGGGAGCGGCGGACGGGUGAGUAACGCGUGGGAAUAUGCCCUUCUCUACGGAAUAGCCUCGGGAAACUGAGAGUAAUACCGUAUACGCCCUGUGGGGGAAAGAUUUAUCGGGGAAGGAUUAGCCCGCGUUGGAUUAGGUAGUUGGUGGGGUAAUGGCCUACCAAGCCGACGAUCCAUAGCUGGUUUGAGAGGAUGAUCAGCCACACUGGGACUGAGACGCGGCCCAGACUCCUACGGGAGGCAGCAGUGGGGGAUCUUAGACAAUGGGGGCAACCCUGAUCUAGCCAUGCCGCGUGAGUGAUGAAGGCCUUAGGGUUGUAAAGCUCUUUCAGCUGGGAAGAUAAUGACGGUACCAGCAGAAGAAGCCCCGGCUAACUCCGUG